CCGGGGCUUCGUGGGCCUUUCUCGCCGGAGUCACAGGACAUGGUACUGGACAGAAUUCUGCUCUGUUGGGACUUUCUCUUGCCUACCUGGUCACACUGAGUGCUGUCAGCACAGGCAGAACUUCUCCUUGGACACAGAGAUGUUGUUCAUGUCAAAGGUGAAUCACAGGACACAGUGGAUCAGGAUGACACUUGGAUAUCCACGGAGGACGUGACAAGAACCCUUGAUGAAAAUAGAGAAGAUGGCAAUUAGCAUGACUGAGGCUAAAGAACUUGAAAGCUGUCAGAGGUUAUCAUCCAUGCUCAUCGGAAACAAAGUGAACACAAGGUUGCCUUGCCUCAUCAUACUGCCGAGAAAUGCUGUGGUGAAACUCCACCCCCGUGUUGAAGCUGACUUGGAUUCCGUGUCUGAGAAGGCCUGAUUCA
Molecule: long non-coding RNA, 425 nt
Filed under: Gallus gallus (chicken)
Lineage: Eukaryota; Metazoa; Chordata; Aves; Galliformes; Phasianidae
Description: long non-coding RNA NONGGAT008102
Source: RNAcentral